RNAcentral lists this unclassified non-coding RNA (539 nucleotides) under Hevea brasiliensis (rubber tree). Lineage: Eukaryota; Viridiplantae; Streptophyta; Magnoliopsida; Malpighiales; Euphorbiaceae. The record is from RNAcentral.
AGGACCAUUGUCUCUUUUGUCUCAAUCCCAAAGCCUAUACCAAUCUACUUUCUCAUAUUGCCUUCCUAGCUUUAGGUCUCUCAACUUUUCUGGGUCUUUGAGGCUUGGACCCGUUGGGCAGCCCCUGAGGAUCAAGACUACACCAUUGCUCAAAAAUCCCAGGAGGCCGUCACUCUACUAUGUCAACUUGGUUGCAAUUAGGGUUGGAAGAAGAGUUGUUGAUAUUCCUCCUAGUGCUUUGGCUUUCGAUCCAAGCACCGGUGCAGGGACCAUCUUUGAUUCUGGUAUAGUCUCCGUAAAUUUUAUUUUUUAGACCUUAAUUAUUCGUAUUUAAAACUUUAUAAUUCUGUAAACGAUGUUAGUAUCAUUAAAAUUGAAGCUUAUUAAUAGUAUGCACAGCAACUAACUACAGGCGUGAAUCCCCUCAUUCAGGAACCGUAUUCACCCGGCUAGUCACGCCAGCCUACAUUGCGGUCCGUGACGCAUUCCGACAGCGAGUCGGCAACGCAACAGUAACAUCCCUAGGCGGAUUCGACACA